This 177-nucleotide small RNA is filed under the name Pan troglodytes (chimpanzee). Its description in RNAcentral is "processed transcript". The record is from RNAcentral. Lineage: Eukaryota; Metazoa; Chordata; Mammalia; Primates; Hominidae.
CUUUAAUUGGUUGCAGUUGAGCUAAUGGUGGAGCCAAAAUGCUAUUGCCCUGUCUUCAUCAACAUUUAAUCACUCCUUUAUGUCUCCAAAUGAUACAAGAAGACCCGAGAAAGUGGUAAACUAAAUGAUUUUUAUUAAAGUAAUUGCCAAAUAUUAAAGAUAAAAUAUGGAUAGUUA